Molecule: ribosomal RNA, 468 nt
Filed under: uncultured bacterium
Lineage: Bacteria
Description: partial 16S ribosomal RNA
Rfam family: Bacterial small subunit ribosomal RNA
Source: RNAcentral
GACGAACGCUGGCGGCGUGCUUAACACAUGCAAGUCGAACGGAAAGGCCCUGCUUUUGUGGGGUGCUCGAGUGGCGAACGGGUGAGUAACACGUGAGUAACCUGCCCUUGACUUUGGGAUAACUUCAGGAAACUGGGGCUAAUACCGGAUAGGAGCUCCUGCUGCAUGGUGGGGGUUGGAAAGUUUCGGCGGUUGGGGAUGGACUCGCGGCUUAUCAGCUUGUUGGUGGGGUAGUGGCUUACCAAGGCUUUGACGGGUAGCCGGCCUGAGAGGGUGACCGGCCAAAUUGGGAAUGGGAUACGGCCCAGGCUCCUACGGGAGGCAGCAGUGGGGAAUAUUGCACAAUGGGCGGAAGCCUGAUGCAGCAACGCCGCGUGCGGGAUGACGGCCUUCGGGUUGUAAACCGCUUUCGCCUGUGACGAAGCGUGAGUGACGGUAAUGGGUAAAGAAGCACCGGCUAACUACGUG